Molecule: ribosomal RNA, 1372 nt
Filed under: Salmonella enterica
Lineage: Bacteria; Pseudomonadati; Pseudomonadota; Gammaproteobacteria; Enterobacterales; Enterobacteriaceae
Also listed under: 8 other names
Description: partial 23S ribosomal RNA
Rfam family: Bacterial large subunit ribosomal RNA
Source: RNAcentral
AGCAACAAAUGCCCUGCUUCCAGGAAAAGCCUCUAAGCAUCAGGUAACAUCAAAUCGUACCCCAAACCGACACAGGUGGUCAGGUAGAGAAUACCAAGGCGCUUGAGAGAACUCGGGUGAAGGAACUAGGCAAAAUGGUGCCGUAACUUCGGGAGAAGGCACGCUGACACGUAGGUGAAGUGAUUUACUCAUGGAGCUGAAGUCAGUCGAAGAUACCAGCUGGCUGCAACUGUUUAUUAAAAACACAGCACUGUGCAAACACGAAAGUGGACGUAUACGGUGUGACGCCUGCCCGGUGCCGGAAGGUUAAUUGAUGGGGUCAGCGCAAGCGAAGCUCCUGAUCGAAGCCCCGGUAAACGGCGGCCGUAACUAUAACGGUCCUAAGGUAGCGAAAUUCCUUGUCGGGUAAGUUCCGACCUGCACGAAUGGCGUAAUGAUGGCCAGGCUGUCUCCACCCGAGACUCAGUGAAAUUGAACUCGCUGUGAAGAUGCAGUGUACCCGCGGCAAGACGGAAAGACCCCGUGAACCUUUACUAUAGCUUGACACUGAACAUUGAGCCUUGAUGUGUAGGAUAGGUGGGAGGCUUUGAAGUGUGGACGCCAGUCUGCAUGGAGCCGACCUUGAAAUACCACCCUUUAAUGUUUGAUGUUCUAACGUGGACCCGUAAUCCGGGUUGCGGACAGUGUCUGGUGGGUAGUUUGACUGGGGCGGUCUCCUCCUAAAGAGUAACGGAGGAGCACGAAGGUUGGCUAAUCCUGGUCGGACAUCAGGAGGUUAGUGCAAUGGCAUAAGCCAGCUUGACUGCGAGCGUGACGGCGCGAGCAGGUGCGAAAGCAGGUCAUAGUGAUCCGGUGGUUCUGAAUGGAAGGGCCAUCGCUCAACGGAUAAAAGGUACUCCGGGGAUAACAGGCUGAUACCGCCCAAGAGUUCAUAUCGACGGCGGUGUUUGGCACCUCGAUGUCGGCUCAUCACAUCCUGGGGCUGAAGUAGGUCCCAAGGGUAUGGCUGUUCGCCAUUUAAAGUGGUACGCGAGCUGGGUUUAGAACGUCGUGAGACAGUUCGGUCCCUAUCUGCCGUGGGCGCUGGAGAACUGAGGGGGGCUGCUCCUAGUACGAGAGGACCGGAGUGGACGCAUCACUGGUGUUCGGGUUGUCAUGCCAAUGGCACUGCCCGGUAGCUAAAUGCGGAAGAGAUAAGUGCUGAAAGCAUCUAAGCACGAAACUUGCCCCGAGAUGAGUUCUCCCUGAGACUUAGAGUCUCCUGAAGGAACGUUGAAGACGACGACGUUGAUAGGCCGGGUGUGUAAGCGCAGCGAUGCGUUGAGCUAACCGGUACUAAUGAACCGUGAGGCUUAACCUUACAACGCCGAAG